RNAcentral lists this transfer RNA (72 nucleotides) under Albula glossodonta (roundjaw bonefish). It matches the Rfam family "tRNA". From Rfam's summary of the family: Transfer RNA (tRNA) molecules are approximately 80 nucleotides in length. Their secondary structure includes four short double-helical elements and three loops (D, anti-codon, and T loops). The record is from Rfam by way of RNAcentral. Lineage: Eukaryota; Metazoa; Chordata; Actinopteri; Albuliformes; Albulidae.
UCCUCUAUGGUCUAGCGGUUAGAAUUCCUGGUUUUCACCUAGGCGGCCCGGGUUCAAUUCCCGGUAUGGGAA